ACUCACUGAAAUGACAAAAUUUGACCUUGACACUUCAAAAUAACUUUGUAAGAGUAUAUUUGAUCACUGGAGGAAGGCUGUAAAGACUGACACUAACAGUGGUAAUGGAAGUCAAAAUCGGCUAAGAAGUGUGUAACAACUCACCUGCCAAAUCGACUAGCUCCGAUGAGUAGGAGGACGUGGGGGUCGUUGAGAAACCUCGGGCGUGAGCUUGGGUGGAUCAGCCCCCGGUGCAGAUCUUGGUGGUAGUAAAAAAUAUUCAAAUGAGAACUUUGAAGACUGAAUUGGGGAAAGGUUCCAUGUGAACAACACUUGGACAUGGGUUAGUCAAUCCUAAGAGAUGGGGAAGCCUUGUAUCAAGGGUGCACACUGCACGAGCAUCGAAAGGGAAUCAGGUUAAUAUUCCUGAACAGGGACAUGGGAACGGGCGACAACGUUAGGAAAUCUGGAGACGUCGUCGGGGGCCCUAGGAAGAGUUAUCUUUUCUCUUUAACAGCUUGCCCACCCUAGAAUUGGCUCACGCGAAGAUAGGGUCCAGUAGCUGGAAGAGCACCCCACGUCUUGCAGUGUCUGGUGUGCCCUCAGUGGCCCUUGAAAAUAUGGAGGAUCGAGUACCGUUCAUGCCUGGUCGUACUCAUAACUGCAUCAGGUCUCCAAGGUGAACAACGUCUGGUCAAUAGAACAAUGUAGGUAAUGGAAGUCGGCAAAAUGUAUCCGUAACUUCAGGAAAAGGAUUGGCUCUGAGGGCUAGGCCUAGGGGUCUGCGCCCUCAACUCAUGGGCUAUCGGCAGUUUGCCCAAGAUGCUCUCGUAGUGAGGGCAGGUAGUCGCGUGCCGAUUGGGCUACGGGCGUAGAAUGCCCCCCGUCAAGGGCUUUUCCCUAGGCGUUGAAAAGUUGACUCAAAACUAGUACAGACAAGGGGAAUAUAAUUGUUUAAUUAAAACAAAGCAUUGUGAUCCCUACGUAUGCUGACACAAUGUGAUUUCUGCCUAGUGCUCUAAAUGUCAAAGCGAAGAAAUUCAACCAAGCGCGGGUAAACAACGGGAGUAACUAUGACUCUCUUAAGGUAGCCAAAUUCCUCGUCAUCUAAUUAGUGACGCACAUGAAUGGAUUAACAAGAUUCCCACUGUCCCUAUCUACUAUCUAGCGAAACCACAGCUAAGGGAACGGGUUUGGCAGAAUCAGCGGGGAAGGAAGACCUUGUUGAACUUGACUUGAGUCCGACUUUGUGAAAUGACUUGAGAGGUGUAGAAUAAGUGGGAUCCGUUUUUAGCGCAAGUGAAAUACCACUACUUUUAACGUUAUUUUACUUAUUCUGUGGGGUAGAGACGAGGAACUGCCCCUAUUUUUGGCCUUAAGGGACGUUUCGGCGGGUCGAUCCGGGCGGAAGACAUUGUCAGGUGGAGAGUUUGGUUGGGGCGGCACAUCUGUUAAAAGAUAACGUAGGUGUCCUAAGAUGAGCUCAACGAGAACCGAAAUCUGAUGUGGAACAAAAGGGUAAAAGCUCAUUUGAUUUUGAUUUUAAAUAUGAAUACAAACCGUGAAAGUGUGGCCUAUCAAUCCUUUAGAUUUUUAGAAUUUGAAGCUAGAGGUGUCAGAAAAGUUACCACAGGGAUAAAUGGUUUUUGGCAGCCAAGCGUUCAUAGCGACGUUGCUUUUUUAUCCUUCGAUGUCAGCUCUUCCUAUCAUUGUGAAGCAAAAUUCACCAAGUGUUGGAUUGUUCACCCACCAAUAGGGAACAUGAGAUGGGUUUAGACCAUCGUGAGACAAGUUAGUUUUACCCUACUGAUGAACCACACCGCAAUAGUAAUUCAACUUAGUACGAGAGGAACCGUUGAUUCACACAAUUGGUCAUCGCGCUUGGUUGAAAAUCCAGUGGCGUGAAGCUAGCAUGUGUCGGAUUAUGGUUGAACGCCUCUAAGUCAGAAUCCACGGUAGAAGCGGUGCACGUCACUCUUCGACUGUAUCUUGACCUGCAUGUAGGGGUGUCGCUUUGUCGCCCCCAGGGGCCCAUGUCAUUUGCAAACCGCGACCGUGAAGCAUCUCGGUCGGGGAAGCUUUGAAGUUCAAUUC
This 2073-nucleotide ribosomal RNA is filed under the name Pinus taeda (loblolly pine). Its description in RNAcentral is "eukaryotic LSU rRNA". It matches the Rfam family "Eukaryotic large subunit ribosomal RNA", at positions 1089 to 3357 of the family's 3401-position model. Lineage: Eukaryota; Viridiplantae; Streptophyta; Pinopsida; Pinales; Pinaceae. The record is from RNAcentral.